Molecule: ribosomal RNA, 586 nt
Filed under: uncultured bacterium
Lineage: Bacteria
Description: partial 16S ribosomal RNA
Rfam family: Bacterial small subunit ribosomal RNA
Source: RNAcentral
UGGGGAAUUUUGGACAAUGGGCGAAAGCCUGAUCCAGCAAUGCCGCGUGUGUGAAGAAGGCCUUCGGGUUGUAAAGCACUUUUGUCCGGAAAGAAAUCCUCUGGGUUAAUACCUCGGGGGGAGUGACGGUACCGGAAGAAUAAGCACCGGCUAACUACGUGCCAGCAGCCGCGGUAAUACGUAGGGUGCAAGCGUUAAUCGGAAUUACUGGGCGUAAAGCGUGCGCAGGCGGUUUUGUAAGACGGAUGUGAAAUCCCCGGGCUUAACCUGGGAACUGCAUUCGUGACUGCAAGGCUAGAGUAUGGCAGAGGGGGGUAGAAUUCCACGUGUAGCAGUGAAAUGCGUAGAGAUGUGGAGGAAUACCGAUGGCGAAGGCAGCCCCCUGGGCCAAUACUGACGCUCAUGCACGAAAGCGUGGGGAGCAAACAGGAUUAGAUACCCUGGUAGUCCACGCCCUAAACGAUGUCAACUAGUUGUUGGGGAUUCAUUUCCUUAGUAACGUAGCUAACGCGUGAAGUUGACCGCCUGGGGAGUACGGUCGCAAGAUUAAAACUCAAAUGAAUUGACGGGGUCAUAGCUGUUUCCU